This is a long non-coding RNA of Dipodomys spectabilis (banner-tailed kangaroo rat), 92 nucleotides long. RefSeq lists it as uncharacterized. Lineage: Eukaryota; Metazoa; Chordata; Mammalia; Rodentia; Heteromyidae. The transcript has 3 exons. The record is from RefSeq and is a predicted model, not a curated record.
CCUGCCUCUGAGUAGCCUCUAAGAUUUCCCCUAUAUGGAAGGUUGAGGUGUAUCUUCCCUAGUUAGAAAAUGUGUGUGUGUAAAAUAUUAGA